GGAAUUUAGCAGCCGAGAUCCGUCACCGACGGAUGCGGGGGACCCACUUAAGGGGCGUAUUCCAGACAAUGGAUAGGGCACUUCCAAGCCCGAGCCCGUCAGCUAACCUCGUAGGCAUUUGGGAGAGCAUGG
This 132-nucleotide small RNA is filed under the name Citrifermentans bemidjiense. RNAcentral's name for it is "Geobacter bemidjiensis c-di-AMP sequence". It matches the Rfam family "c-di-AMP riboswitch aptamer (ydaO/yuaA leader)". Rfam says of the family: This family represents a conserved RNA structure found upstream of the ydaO and yuaA genes in Bacillus subtilis and related genes in other bacteria. The ydaO/yuaA element is thought to act as a genetic "off" switch for the ydaO and yuaA genes in its native state. It is believed that the element may be triggered during osmotic shock leading to activation of ydaO, a predicted amino acid transporter gene, and members of the yuaA-yubG operon which code for KtrA and KtrB K+ transporters. Lineage: Bacteria; Pseudomonadati; Thermodesulfobacteriota; Desulfuromonadia; Geobacterales; Geobacteraceae. RNAcentral also lists the same sequence under 1 other name. The record is from RNAcentral.